RNAcentral lists this unclassified non-coding RNA (257 nucleotides) under rhizosphere metagenome. RNAcentral describes it as "partial ribosomal RNA internal transcribed spacer region". The record is from RNAcentral.
GUUGGUGAACCAGCGGAAGGAUCAUUACCGAGUUAGGGUUCGUCCAACGAGCCCGACCUCCCAACCCUUUGUCUAUUUUACCUUGUCGUUGCUUCGGCGGACCGGUCGCGACCAACUGGUCGUGGCCGCCGGGGGUCCACCUCCUGGAGAGCGUCCGCCGAUGGCCCAACCACAAACUCUUGUAUCAAACCAUGUCGUCUGAAUUACUUGAUUAAAAUCAAAAAACAAAACUUUCAACAACGGAUCUCUUGGCUCUC